ACAGACACCUCAGCAGUACUCAGAGUUUACAAUACGUGCAGAAGGAGCAGCACAUUCAGAAGGAAGGACAGACACAGCCGGGCCAUGCCAGCUCUGUGCUCAGUCAUGGCAGUGCAUCCCCAUGGUGGAAAGGAGCACGGGACAGGAGGAAGGGCAGGACUUCACCCCCACAGGUUGAUGUGUUGGAGUUAAUGCUCCUCAGAGGCUAACCAUAGUAUCUGAACUGUCAUCACAGCUCUGGCAAGAUAAGCUUUUAUUCGUGGCAGCCU
RNAcentral lists this long non-coding RNA (269 nucleotides) under Gallus gallus (chicken). RNAcentral's name for it is "long non-coding RNA NONGGAT003166". Lineage: Eukaryota; Metazoa; Chordata; Aves; Galliformes; Phasianidae. The record is from RNAcentral.